RNAcentral lists this ribosomal RNA (385 nucleotides) under uncultured bacterium. Its description in RNAcentral is "bacterial SSU rRNA". It matches the Rfam family "Bacterial small subunit ribosomal RNA", at positions 28 to 416 of the family's 1533-position model. The record is from RNAcentral.
GACGAACGUUGGCGGCGUGCUUAACACAUGCAAGUCGAGCGGUAAGGCCCUUCGGGGUACACGAGCGGCGAACGGGUGAGUAACACGUGGGUGACCUGCCCUUAGCUCUGGGAUAAGCCUGGGAAACUGGGUCUAAUACCGGAUAUGACCUCAUGACGCAUGUUGUGGGGUGGAAAGCCUUGUGCGGCUAGGGAUGGGCCCGCGGCCUAUCAGCUUGUUGGUGGGGUGAUGGCCUACCAAGGCGACGACGGGUAGCCGGCCUGAGAGGGCGACCGGCCACACUGGGACUGAGACACGGCCCAGACUCCUACGGGAGGCAGCAGUGGGGAAUCUUGCGCAAUGGGCGAAAGCCUGACGCAGCGACGCCGCGUGAGGGAUGACGGCC